Molecule: ribosomal RNA, 252 nt
Filed under: uncultured bacterium
Lineage: Bacteria
Description: partial 16S ribosomal RNA
Rfam family: Bacterial small subunit ribosomal RNA
Source: RNAcentral
ACAGAGGGUGCAAACGUUGUUCGGAAUUACUGGGCAUAAAGAGCACGUAGGCGGCCAUUCAAGUCACGCGUGAAAUCCCCCGGCUCAACCGGGGAACUGCGUGUGAUACUGUUUGGCUAGAGGUCGGUAGGGGUGAGCGGAACUCUAGGUGGAGCGGUGAAAUGCGUAGAUAUCUAGAGGAACACCGGUGGCGAAAGCGGCUCACUGGACCGAAACUGACGCUGAGGUGCGAAAGCUAGGGUAGCAAACGGG